This 74-nucleotide transfer RNA is filed under the name Dactylosporangium aurantiacum. Its description in RNAcentral is "tRNA-Ser". It matches the Rfam family "tRNA". From Rfam's summary of the family: Transfer RNA (tRNA) molecules are approximately 80 nucleotides in length. Lineage: Bacteria; Bacillati; Actinomycetota; Actinomycetes; Micromonosporales; Micromonosporaceae. The record is from RNAcentral.
CAGCGUGUAGCUCAACGAGACAGAGCGCCGGGCUUGAGCCCCGGUGGGUGCGGGUGCGAGGCCCGCCACGCUGG